This 305-nucleotide ribosomal RNA is filed under the name uncultured bacterium. Its description in RNAcentral is "bacterial SSU rRNA". It matches the Rfam family "Bacterial small subunit ribosomal RNA", at positions 335 to 656 of the family's 1533-position model. The record is from RNAcentral.
GGACCUACGGGACGCAGCAGUGGGGAAUAUUGCGCAAUGGGGGAAACCCUGACGCAGCAACGCCACGUGAGUGAAGACGUAUCUCGGUAUGUAAAGCUCUAUCAGCGGGGAAGAAGGAAGACGGUACCCGACUAAGAAGCCCCGGCUAACUACGUGCCAGCAGCCGCGGUAAUACGUAGGGGGCGAGCGUUAUCCGGAUUUACUGGGUGUAAAGGGAGCGUAGACGGCGUCGCAAGUCUGAAGUGAAAGCCCGUGGCUCAACCGCGGAACCGCUGUGGAAACUGCGUGGCUGUAGUGCUGGAGAG